AUUGAACGCUGGCGGCAUGCUUUACACAUGCAAGUCGAACGGCAGCGCGGGCUUCGGCCUGGCGGCGAGUGGCGAACGGGUGAGUAAUACAUCGGAACGUGCCCAGUAGUGGGGGAUAGCUCGGCGAAAGCCGGAUUAAUACCGCAUACGACCUGAGGGUGAAAGCGGGGGAUCUUCGGACCUCGCGCUAUUGGAGCGGCCGAUGGCAGAUUAGCUAGUUGGUGGGGUAAAGGCCUACCAAGGCGACGAUCUGUAGCUGGUCUGAGAGGACGACCAGCCACACGGGGACUGAGACACGGCCCAGACUCCUACGGGAGGCAGCAGUGGGGAAUUUUGGACAAUGGGCGAAAGCCUGAUCCAGCAAUGCCGCGUGUGUGAUGAAGGCCUUCGGGUUGUAAAGCACUUUUGGCGGGAACGAAAAGGACUGUGCCAAUACCACGGUUCGAUGACGGUACCCGCAGAAUAAGCACCGGCUAACUACGU
Molecule: ribosomal RNA, 483 nt
Filed under: uncultured bacterium
Lineage: Bacteria
Description: partial 16S ribosomal RNA
Rfam family: Bacterial small subunit ribosomal RNA
Source: RNAcentral